Molecule: long non-coding RNA, 599 nt
Organism: Daphnia pulicaria
Lineage: Eukaryota; Metazoa; Arthropoda; Branchiopoda; Diplostraca; Daphniidae
Exons: 3
Source: RefSeq, a predicted model, not a curated record
AAUCUGUGAUGUACCAUUUGUCUAACCUUGAACGCAGUAACCUUUUGAAGCCGAUAAAGCCUACAAGAUCAACCUUGGGAAAAGUGUAUGUGUAAGAAUUCUAAGAAGGCUUCGCUUUUUGAUGAGGGACAUAGGCUUGGACAUAGGCAUGUGUCAAUCUAGACCGGAAUGAGGGGCUUCAACUCCAAACCUUCUAUUCGAAGUCGCUAUCCUCCGAUGUCAAUUAAGCUGCCGCAGGUUUCACAGUUACAAAGAUGCCCCAAAUGAAGAGUGCAAGUUCGCUGUCAGAUAUCUGCCUAGUAUUUAUUUCACAAAAUGUAAAAAUGUUUUGUAAUGAGUUGGAAAUCGGUGAACAAGCGGAUGUCGCGGAUGUCACUGAUGUAGAAGAUAGCACAACAAAUCCCUUUCACCAAUUACCCUCAAUUUUGUUGGAGGCACUUAUAAAUAUAAUCACCGAGAAAACCCAAGCGGGAGAUAAGCAAACCGAACGGUUUCUUCAUCAAUUGAUAACCCCAGCACACCUCUCUACUAUAAGUUUAGACUCAACGAUGGUUGACAAAAUUGAUGUCUUUUACAUUCUUCGACUCGCCACAAUCAGA